GAUGAACGCUGGCGGCGUGCCUAAUACAUGCAAGUCGAGCGAACAGACGAGGAGCUUGCUCCUCUGACGUUAGCGGCGGACGGGUGAGUAACACGUGGAUAACCUACCUAUAAGACUGGGAUAACUUCGGGAAACCGGAGCUAAUACCGGAUAAUAUAUUGAACCGCAUGGUUCAAUAGUGAAAGACGGUUUUGCUGUCACUUAUAGAUGGAUCCGCGCCGCAUUAGCUAGUUGGUAAGGUAACGGCUUACCAAGGCAACGAUGCGUAACCGACCUGAGGGGGGGUCCGGCACACCGGAACUGGGGCACGGUGCCAAACCCCAACGGGGGGAGGAGGGGGGGAAUUUUCCCAAAGGGGGGAAGCCCUGACGGGGCAACGCCGGGGGGGGAAAAAAGGUUUUCGGAUGGAAAAACUUUUUUUUUAGGGAAAAAAAAAUGGGGAAAUAACCUUGCCGGUCUGAAGGGAACCAAAUAAGAAAGCCCGGGUAAAUUCGGG
RNAcentral lists this ribosomal RNA (496 nucleotides) under uncultured bacterium. RNAcentral describes it as "partial 16S ribosomal RNA". It matches the Rfam family "Bacterial small subunit ribosomal RNA", at positions 28 to 507 of the family's 1533-position model. The record is from RNAcentral.